RNAcentral lists this non-coding RNA (159 nucleotides) under Roseospira goensis. Its description in RNAcentral is "6S / SsrS RNA". It matches the Rfam family "6S / SsrS RNA". From Rfam's summary of the family: E. coli 6S RNA was the first non coding RNA to be sequenced, but its function was unknown until recently. It consists of 184 nucleotides that fold into an extended hairpin structure with a large single-stranded internal bulge. Lineage: Bacteria; Pseudomonadati; Pseudomonadota; Alphaproteobacteria; Rhodospirillales; Rhodospirillaceae. The record is from Rfam by way of RNAcentral.
GCGGGGCUGCCCGGUUCGUCAGGCACGCACACUCCCGGGGGCUAUACGUCUGUAGAAGGGAGCUGUCCCUGUCGGGAUCCUGGUCCCGGCACACGGCGCCCACGUUGUUGCCGCGGCCCAUGUGGAGGUCGCAUCGCCAACGGCCAGGGUGGCUCCGCA